Yokenella regensburgei ATCC 43003 is the source of this 78-nucleotide non-coding RNA. The record is from Rfam. NCBI's taxonomy places the organism in Bacteria, Pseudomonadati, Pseudomonadota, Gammaproteobacteria, Enterobacterales, Enterobacteriaceae.
GCACCUGCAAAAUCAGGCGCCGGGAUUGGUCUCCUGAAUAUCAUACCUGCGACAUAAUGGCGCAUCUGCGCUUUUUUU